Molecule: transfer RNA, 25 nt
Filed under: Mus terricolor (Earth-colored mouse)
Lineage: Eukaryota; Metazoa; Chordata; Mammalia; Rodentia; Muridae
Description: partial tRNA-Thr
Source: RNAcentral
GGAAUCUUUCUUCUUUCUAAGGACA